AGUGAACGCUGGCGGUAGGCCUAACACAUGCAAGUCGAACGGCAGCACAGUAAGAGCUUGCUCUUACGAGUGGCGAGUGGCGGACGGGUGAGGAAUACAUCGGAAUCUACUUUUUCGUGGGGGAUAACGUAGGGAAACUUACGCUAAUACCGCAUACGACCUACGGGUGAAAGCAGGGGAUCUUCGGACCUUGCGCGAUUGAAUGAGCCGAUGUCGGAUUAGCUAGUUGGCGGGGUAAAGGCCCACCAAGGCGACGAUCCGUAGCUGGUCUGAGAGGAUGAUCAGCCACACUGGAACUGAGACACGGUCCAGACUCCUACGGGAGGCAGCAGUGGGGAAUAUUGGACAAAGGGCGCAAGCCUGAUCCAGCCAUACCGCGUGGGUGAAGAAGGCCUUCGGGUUGUAAAGCCCUUUUGUUGGGAAAGAAAAGCAGCAGGUUAAUACCCCGCUGUUCUGACGGUACCCAAAGAAUAAGCACCGGCUAACUUCGUG
RNAcentral lists this ribosomal RNA (492 nucleotides) under uncultured bacterium. RNAcentral's name for it is "partial 16S ribosomal RNA". It matches the Rfam family "Bacterial small subunit ribosomal RNA", at positions 29 to 507 of the family's 1533-position model. The record is from RNAcentral.